GUGGGCCACCACACCACGUUGAAAGCACCGGUUCUCGUCGGAUCACCGCAGCUAAGCAACGUUGGGCCACAAGGCAGUGGAGCGACGUUAAUAAAUGCAGUCCCGUGGUAGCCGGCG
Non-coding RNA from Schistosoma mansoni, 117 nucleotides. NCBI's taxonomy places the organism in Eukaryota, Metazoa, Platyhelminthes, Trematoda, Strigeidida, Schistosomatidae. The record is from Rfam.